This 253-nucleotide ribosomal RNA is filed under the name uncultured bacterium. RNAcentral describes it as "partial 16S ribosomal RNA". It matches the Rfam family "Bacterial small subunit ribosomal RNA", at positions 524 to 776 of the family's 1533-position model. The record is from RNAcentral.
UACGUAGGCAGCGAGCGUUGUUCGGAAUUACUGGGCGUAAAGAGUGUGUAGGCGGUGCUCUAAGUCUGGUGUGAAAGCCCCCGGCUCAACUGGGGAGGGUCAUUCGAUACUGAUCGACUGGAAGGCAGGAGAGGGAAGCGGAAUUCCCGGUGUAGUGGUGAAAUGCGUAGAUAUCGGGAGGAACACCAGUGGCGAAGGCGGCUUCCUGGCCUGUUCUUGACGCUGAGGCGCGAAAGCUAGGGGAGCAAACGGG